AGGGGCGUAGCUCAGUUGGUAGAGCGCCGGUCUCCAAAACCGAAGGUCGUCAGUUCGAAUCUGUCCGCCCCUGCCA
This 76-nucleotide transfer RNA is filed under the name Yoonia sp. RNAcentral describes it as "tRNA-Trp". It matches the Rfam family "tRNA". Rfam says of the family: Transfer RNA (tRNA) molecules are approximately 80 nucleotides in length. Lineage: Bacteria; Pseudomonadati; Pseudomonadota; Alphaproteobacteria; Rhodobacterales; Paracoccaceae. The record is from RNAcentral. RNAcentral also lists the same sequence under 1 other name.